Molecule: unclassified non-coding RNA, 343 nt
Filed under: soil metagenome
Description: partial contains 5.8S ribosomal RNA, internal transcribed spacer 2, and large subunit ribosomal RNA
Rfam family: 5.8S ribosomal RNA (bases 1-120)
Source: RNAcentral
GAUGAAGAACGCAGCGAAAUGCGAUAAGUAAUGUGAAUUGCAGAAUUCAGUGAAUCAUCGAAUCUUUGAACGCACAUCGCGCCCGCCAGCAUUCUGGCGGGCAUGCCUGUUCGAGCGUCAUUUCAACCCUCGAGCCCCCCCGGGGGCCUCGGUGUUGGGGGACGGCACACCAGCCGCCCCCGAAAUGCAGUGGCGACCCCGCCGCAGCCUCCCCUGCGUAGUAGCACACACCUCGCACCGGAGCGCGGAGGCGGUCACGCCGUAAAACGCCCAACUUUCUUAGAGUUGACCUCGGAUCAGGUAGGAAUACCCGCUGAACUUAAGCAUAUCAAUAAGCGGAGGA